AACUGGGAUUGGUAGGGGUUGGUCUCCUGGAGCAACAUUGAUUUUUGGAGUGAGGAAAACCAGGGUGCAGUCUGCAGCCCCUCUUUCCUGGAGUAAAUGAACUGGACCAAAUCUCAAAAAUCCACGAUGUCAUCGGCACACCCGCUCAGAAGAUCCUCACCAAGUUCAAACAAACCCAGAACGGAAGCGAGGAUGAGGCCUCAGCCGUCCUCCUCCCCAUUCAAACACGUUCAUCCCUCAACCCUCUGCUGAGCACCUGCAUGCUGCCCGGCCGCAGUGUCACCCUUCUUGUGUGAGCCUACCCUCAUCCACCCACCUCACCCUCCUGACCUUAAAGAAGACACCGGGCAGAAGCACAGGGGAGCCCAGUCACACCCCACACUGGCGGGGGCAGGCCUUGCAGGGAGAAGCAGUAAGCAGCCAUCUCCAUCAGCCAUUUCCAUCUGGCACUCAGACGUGCACGUCUUCGUGUGACAGGCGGCAGCAGUGCGACCGUGACCUCCCAUCUGCUCUGCUGUCCCCACACCUGCGGUGCAGCCAGCCUGCCACAAGGCAGCUAGAGUCCAGCUAGACCCACCCCUGGCACGGCCGACCUCUUCCUGGCUUCUUCUGGGCCUAAUCCCCGUGCAUUCUCC
RNAcentral lists this long non-coding RNA (635 nucleotides) under Homo sapiens (human). RNAcentral's name for it is "non-protein coding lnc-HSP90AA1-14:1". The record is from RNAcentral. Lineage: Eukaryota; Metazoa; Chordata; Mammalia; Primates; Hominidae.